Molecule: ribosomal RNA, 465 nt
Filed under: uncultured bacterium
Lineage: Bacteria
Description: partial 16S ribosomal RNA
Rfam family: Bacterial small subunit ribosomal RNA
Source: RNAcentral
GACGAACGCUGGCGGCGUGCUUAACACAUGCAAGUCGAACGGAAAGGCCCUGCUUGCAGGGUACUCGAGUGGCGAACGGGUGGGUAACACGUGGGUGCUCUGCCCUGCACUUCUGGGUAAGCCUGAGCAACUGGGUCUAAAACCUGAUAGGAGCCAUUUUUAGUGGGAUGGUUGGAAAGUUUUUUCGGUGUAGGAUGAGCUGGCGGCCUAUCGGCUUGUUGGGGGGGUAAUGGCCUACCAAGGCGGCAACGGGUAGCCGGACUGUGAGGGUGGACGGCGGCACUGGGACUGAGAGACGGCAGAGAUGGGUACUGGAGGAAGAAGUGGGGAAUAUUGCACAAUGGGCGCAAGCCUGAUGCAGAGACGCCGCGUGGGGGAUGACGGCUUUCUGGUUGUAAACUACCUGCGCUAGGGACGAAGCUUUUUGUGACGGUACCUAGAUAAGAAGCACCGGCUAACUACGUG